Molecule: ribosomal RNA, 253 nt
Filed under: uncultured bacterium
Lineage: Bacteria
Description: partial 16S ribosomal RNA
Rfam family: Bacterial small subunit ribosomal RNA
Source: RNAcentral
UACGUAGGGUGCGAGCGUUGUCCGGAAUUACUGGGCGUAAAGAGCUCGUAGGUGGUUUGUCGCGUUGUCCGUGAAAACUCACAACUCAAUUGUGGGCGUGCGGGCGAUACGGGCAGACUGGAGUACUGCAGGGGAGACUGGAAUUCCUGGUGUAGCGGUGGAAUGCGCAGAUAUCAGGAGGAACACCGGUGGCGAAGGCGGGUCUCUGGGCCGAUAUCGACGCUGAGGAGCGAAAGCGUGGGGAGCGAACAGG